CGAUCUGGUAGUUCAGGGGGAGAACGCUUGCUUGACAGGCAAGAAGUCGGGGGUUCGAAUCCCUCUCAGAUCAUCCA
This 77-nucleotide transfer RNA is filed under the name Priestia flexa. RNAcentral describes it as "Bacillus flexus tRNA-Val". It matches the Rfam family "tRNA". Rfam says of the family: Transfer RNA (tRNA) molecules are approximately 80 nucleotides in length. Their secondary structure includes four short double-helical elements and three loops (D, anti-codon, and T loops). Further hydrogen bonds mediate the characteristic L-shaped molecular structure. tRNAs have two regions of fundamental functional importance: the anti-codon, which is responsible for specific mRNA codon recognition, and the 3' end, to which the tRNAs corresponding amino acid is attached (by aminoacyl-tRNA synthetases). tRNAs cope with the degeneracy of the genetic code in two manners: having more than one tRNA (with a specific anti-codon) for a particular amino acid; and 'wobble' base-pairing, i.e. permitting non-standard base-pairing at the 3rd anti-codon position. The record is from RNAcentral. Lineage: Bacteria; Bacillati; Bacillota; Bacilli; Caryophanales; Bacillaceae.